AACGAACGCUGGCGGCAUGCCUAACACAUGCAAGUCGAACGAUGCCUUCGGGCAUAGUGGCGCACGGGUGCGUAACGCGUGGGAAUCUGCCCUUGGGUUCGGAAUAACAGUUGGAAACGACUGCUAAUACCGGAUGAUGACGUAAGUCCAAAGAUUUAUCGCCCGAGGAUGAGCCCGCGUCGGAUUAGCUAGUUGGUGGGGUAAAGGCCUACCAAGGCGACGAUCCGUAGCUGGUCUGAGAGGAUGAUCAGCCACACUGGGACUGAGACACGGCCCAGACUCCUACGGGAGGCAGCAGUGGGGAAUAUUGGAAAAUGGGCGCAAGCCCGAUCCAGCAAUGCCGCGUGAGUGAUGAAGGCCUUAGGGUUGUAAAGCUCUUUUACCCGGGAAGAUAAUGACUGUACCGGGAGAAUAAGCCCCGGCUAACUCCGUGCCAGCCGCCGCCGUAA
Molecule: ribosomal RNA, 449 nt
Filed under: uncultured bacterium
Lineage: Bacteria
Description: partial 16S ribosomal RNA
Rfam family: Bacterial small subunit ribosomal RNA
Source: RNAcentral